GAGAAGAUAGUGGGCGAACGGGUGAGUAACGACGUGGGGUAACCUGCCCAUAAGAGGGGGGAUAACAUCCGGAAACGGGUGCUAAUACCGCAUAGUUUUCUUGAUUGCAUGAUCGGGAAAGGAAAGACGGCCUUUGUGCUGUCGCUUAUGGAUGGACCCGCGGCGUAUUAGUUAGUUGGUGAGGUAACGGCUCACCAAGACGAUGAUACGUAGCCGACCUGAGAGGGUGAUCGGCCACAUUGGGACUGAGACACGGCCCAAACUCCUACGGGAGGCAGCAGUAGGGAAUCUUCCGCAAUGGACGAAAGUCUGACGGAGCAACGCCGCGUGAGUGAAGAAGGUUUUCAAGGAUCGUAAAACUCUGUUGUCAGAGAAGAACAAGUUGGAGAGUAACUGCUCCAGCCUUGACGGUAUCUGACCAGAAAGCCACGGCUAACUACGUGCCAGCCGCAGC
RNAcentral lists this ribosomal RNA (454 nucleotides) under uncultured bacterium. RNAcentral's name for it is "bacterial SSU rRNA". It matches the Rfam family "Bacterial small subunit ribosomal RNA", at positions 85 to 518 of the family's 1533-position model. The record is from RNAcentral.